RNAcentral lists this ribosomal RNA (484 nucleotides) under uncultured bacterium. RNAcentral's name for it is "partial 16S ribosomal RNA". It matches the Rfam family "Bacterial small subunit ribosomal RNA", at positions 29 to 507 of the family's 1533-position model. The record is from RNAcentral.
AUUGAACGCUGGCGGCAUGCUUUACACAUGCAAGUCGAACGGCAGCGCGGGCUUCGGCCUGGCGGCGAGUGGCGAACGGGUGAGUAAUACAUCGGAACGUGCCCAGUAGUGGGGGAUAGCUCGGCGACAGCCGGAUUAAUACCGCAUACGACCUGAGGGUGAAAGCGGGGGAUCUUCGGACCUCGCGCUAUUGGAGCGGCCGAUGGCAGAUUAGCUAGUUGGUGGGGUAAAGGCCUACCAAGGCGACGAUCUGUAGCUGGUCUGAGAGGACGACCAGCCACACUGGAACGGAGAAACGGCCCAGACUCCUACGGGAGGCAGCAGUGGGGAAUUUUGGACAAUGGGCGAAAGCCUGAUCAAGCAAUGCCGCGUGUGUGAUGAAGGCCUUCGGGUUGUAAAGCACUUUUGGCGGGAACGAAAAGGACUGUGCCAAUACCACGGUUCGAUGACGGUACCCGCAGAAUAAGCACCGGCUAACUACGUG